Molecule: long non-coding RNA, 18747 nt
Organism: Pseudopipra pipra
Lineage: Eukaryota; Metazoa; Chordata; Aves; Passeriformes; Pipridae
Exons: 2
Source: RefSeq, a predicted model, not a curated record
AACGUGUGGGCAAGGCCGAGCCCCCUCACAGGGGCAGAGCCCCCUCACAGGGGCCGCGCGCUCCCUCACGGCUGCCGCGAGGGCACGGCCGGGGGAGCGGGGGCUGCCUGCGGCCACCACCGCCCUCAGGGGCAGCGGGACCGGGGCUCACGGCGGGGCCGACCCCGCCCCGAACGGCGAAGCCGGGGCCGCCCCUCAGGGCCGGGCCCGCCCUCAGGGCCGGCACCGCCCUCACCGUGCAUCCGAUCCCGCCCCUCACGGCGGAGCAGAGCCCGCCCUCGCGGCCGGGGCCGCCCCUCGCGGCCGGCACCGCCCUCACCGUGCAUCCGAUCCCGCCCUCCCGGCGGGUCCGGGACGGCCCCUCCCGGCGGAGCGCAGCCCGUCCCUCCCGGCGGGUCCGGGACGGCCCCUCCCGGCGGAGCGCAGCCCAGCCCGUCCCUCCCGGCCGAGCCGAUCCCGCCCUCAGGGCCCGCCCCGCUGGCGCCACCUGCCGGCGCGGGGGCGCCCGGCACGGCCCCUCCCGACAUGUCGCGACACGAAUCAUCCCGCGGGCGACAAGCAGCGCGUUACCGUCGCUCAUCGGCGGCGUUGGUGCCCCGGGCGGCCCCGGGACAGCAGCCCCGGCCGGUGUGUCCCGCGCUGCCGAGCGCAGGCGGGCCGCGGUUACAUAAGGGGCCGUUGCCGGGCGGUGUCAGCGGUCAGAGCGGGCGGGAAGGAGCCGCCGCAGCCCCGGGAGCUGCGGGCAGCGGGAGAGCGCGAGGGAAACGGGCUCCGGGCCUUCCCCACGGACAAACAAAAGGAUGCAGCAAAGGCGGGGGGAAGGAUUAAAUGCCGCUCGGCGCGACUCCGCACGGCACUCACCAGCUGAUCCUCAGCGAGCAUCGGGCCUAGGCAACAACCUCCCAGUGAUCCCUGGACACGGGCAGGAAUCAGGGUUAAUUCCAAUUAAAUCCAUAGAGCAACCAGGGUAUAAACAACAAGGGGGAACAGAUUGGUCGACAGCAUCAGUUUCCUUUUUUCCUCUAUUCACCAGUGCCCAAGAAAGAGAAGAUGGAAAAGCUGCAGCUCCAGCUGUCAAAAUAAAAGCAGUGACCCCAAAAUCGGGAUGCAGUGACAUGUAAUUUAAUAUAGAUGGAACAAGCCGUGGGGUUUCAUUUGUUUAUGUUUCUGUGCUGUUUAGACAUAAACAUAACUGGAUCCAGAAUAAAUUCAGCUCCAACUUGUGCUUUGUCACUUCUCUCAGCCUCCCUGAGCAUCACACAAACAAAAUCUAUCCCAGAUAAAGCUAAAUUGAGCAUGAAAUGGCCUGUUAUCCCACACCUAUAGGGCUGGAAAACUUGCAUCCUUGUUCUGAUUCCAAUAAAAGCAGCGCCUCUUUCCCUGACAUCAAGCUCCCUUUCCUGGGAUGUGGCUCCACAGCACGGGGACAGCGGAGAGGGAGAGCAGGGAUAAAAAUCAGCACCUUCCGUGGCGAGGGAAGGGCAACACGACAGAAUCCUGAUCCCAAAACAGACCCAGCUCCACAACGUGCAGCCAUCGCCUCUAGCCUGUGCUGGAAAACAGUUUUCCUUGACUCCUGCUGCAGCUCUGAUCCAGCACAACCCGCUGGAGCCUCCAGCAACAGGGAGGGAAGAUAAACAUGAGCUCCAGCAGAAACCUCCAGGCUCUGCCUGCAGGAGUGCAGGUCCUGCAGCUGGGCUGGGCCACAACAGCACAUCUUGGUUCUUCAUUAAGGAUGUCCCCACAUGACUUGAGAAACACCAGCAACUGCCCAGAGAGUAACGGGGGGAAAACGGUUGGGAAUUUUUCCGGAGCUCUUAAAGCAGCUGAGUCCGCUAUUAAUGACCUUGAAUGUAAUUGUCACCCGUGGAAUCAGCCCUGCACUCGAAGGACACAUGCUGAAAAUGCUGUGUGUGUACAGCACACACAUACACAUCACACACACACAUAUUUACAGAUUUAUUUUAACCUGACACGUGCAGGGCUCUGCACGAAGCACCCACCAAACCCACAGAGAGACCCCCAGGGAACACAGAGCACAGGGACAGAGGGAAGCCUUUGUCACUUAAACAUCCUGGCCUGGCUUUAAGCUGGAACACCCAGCUAAUAAAGGAACAAUGUUUUCUGUGGAGAGCCAAAGGUAACACAAAUUCCAGCUGUCUACAUCCCGGGCAGCAUCCUCCAAGCCAAGCCACGCUAAGGUUUGGUAAACACAAGCACAACAGGAUCGAGGCACUUUAGAAAUGGCAGGUCCCAAUUUCAUUACCAUUCCCAAAUCAGACAGGCUCUAGGGUGUUAUAUAGGGCUCAAAACCAGAGAAAACAGGCACUGGGGUUUCUCAGCUAGUCCAGAUGCUCCUAAACUCACCUAGGCUCGGAGAUAUUAGCAGGCAAUUCCAGGGAUAAGGAGGCACAGGGGUGUACUAACAAACAGCAUGGAGCUGCUCCAGGCCCUGAACCCACAGCACAGGCCCUUCAGGACGGGCAAAGAAAGGUCUGUACAGCCCCAAACUUCUUCACUGAUAAAAUACAACACUUGCCUUCUGCCACGGAUACAAUACCAGAUACAAUACCAGACGACCUCAUGAGACAAAAGAGAUCAAACUGUUUCAUUUCAAAGCAUUCUUUAAAACCUAUUGCAUAAUUGGAGGGCGGGGGGUUGGCAUUAUCUUCAAAAAGAAGAAAUGGCUGGAAGAAAAAAAAAAACCAGCUACCAGGAAGAGCAUUUUCUCAGACAGCUUUCAAAGGCCAUAUCCAGGGGUCAGACCUUUUGUAUUUAUUUACAUAAAUACACCAGAUUCUGCUCUGUUUUUUUCUCAGAUAAUAGAAAAUAAACAGUUUUAUUCAGCCCAUCUGAAGAAUGAAUUCAUUUAAAAAAAAUUCAUUGGCUACUUUUAAAUGCAAUCAUGUCAUUCACUAAACAGGCUGAGACUGUAAUCCCUGAAGUUCUGCCAUAACCACACAUCUGGAAUUACUUCCUAAUAGUUACAUUUAUCUUUAAAGUAAACACUGUUUUUUCAAGAGUUACUAUUCUUCCAAGAAACACGCUAAGCUGUAGUUAAGAUUCAUGUUGCUCUUACCAAGGAUUGUCAAGAGGUUUUCAUGGGGUUAUGAUUGAAGGAAAUAUAUUUUGAACAGCAAUCCCCAAAUGGUCCCAUUGCUUAUGUAAACAGACACACAACCCAACCCAUCACAGGGUUUCUUUCUGGCAUUAAAGAUGAACUGUAUGUUUGUCUUGCAUUCCCACUGCAUGUGUGACAGGGCUGAAGAGGGGACACGGACACCUCCAUCUCCAGGUCACAUCCCCUUGUCAUCUCCUGGGGACAAGCAUGAGCACAGCCACUGUGACAGAGACCCUACAGAUCAGAUAUGCACCUCAAACAAACCAAAAUUACACACUCCCUCCUGCCUGGUAUCCCUCUGAAACCAAGGCUGGACGAGCACAGAAAUCAAUUCCAUCACCCUUCUUGCAGGAUUCUUUCCCUCCCAGUCUGUACUUCUCUCCUACUGGUGGCUCAGACCAUCUCAUCAGUGCAACAAAUUCACUUUAGAGCAGUGAUUAUUAUUUAAAAAAGGAAAAUCUAGUUAAAAUAUAACCAAACUUUGCAUUUAUUCUGAGCAACAUUCAGUUCCCUCUCAACAGCAGCACAACAGACAUUUAAUAAUUUUUGAAAUGUCAUUUUAAACUGAUAUUUAAGCUGGGGAAUAAAAGUUCUUCUGAACUCCCAGCCUCCAGCCACAUUUUGUCACCCCAUCAGGGUGAGAUUCUCACCUUAAGCUUCCACAGAGAGGAAACUGGCACAGGUCAACAGGGACACCUUGGGAGAGGCUUGAGAGUGGACGCAAAAUGAAAAUACACAAACACCCCCACAAGGCAAAUCCUCGAGUAUUCACAAAAUACUAGUUAGAAACCCAGAGCCCUGCAGAACCCUUGGACAGAAAAAUUGAACUCCUGAGCAUUAAAGCUUAGAAAGACUGGGAAAUGCACAUCCCAGUUCCAGCCACUUCAUAACCGGCAGCCCAAGGAGGUGGUUUCCAGCCUCUGCCCCUGCUCAGACUUUGUGUGGCUGAACUGCAGCACAGAACUUCCAGGGACAGGAGCUUCCCUGUCCUGACAGGGCAGUGGGGAUAACACACUCACUCACAUCCUGGCUUGUUGUUUCAGCUGCUAAACCAAUCCCAAAAUAAUGAAGGCAGUAACUCAGCAAGGCUGUGACUCCCUUGACCUCCAAUAUUCCCUCUCUCGCAUGCAGGGUCUGGCUCCCAGUCCCAUCUUUCCUUCAGCAAACAGAACCACAUUGUUUCUGCAUUUUCCAGCCCCAGAGUGCUCCAUGGUUUUGUCUCUGCUUCCCAAGCCAAUUGUACUUUGUGGUGCCGACUCCUCUGGCUGUCCAGGCUCCGGGAUGUGGAGGCCGAGAGCCCAAAGCUCCCUGAAAGGUCACAGCCAAGGGGGGACAGGCUGUGCUACCAGGGACUCAAAUGCCACAAUCAGCGUGUAGGGCACUCCAGGAAUGCACAAACAAGACAAGACUGAAGCCUCUUUAUUCCCAAUCCAGGCUGGAAAAGCCUGCAAAGGUCAUUAAAAUCAUGCAGCCCGUCCUUCACGAGUGAGCUCUGCUUCCCACAGCUCAGAUAACCCAUCACUUGAAACCAGUGACCAGGGAGUUAGGAGUGGUUUGCAGGCUCUCAUUUUCCUUCUGAGGUCCCUGGGAUAUCAGACUCCUGCUGGGACGUGGGUACAUAUUAAAUGAGCACUGAAACAACUUCAGGAAGUGUUUGUGCUGCUCCCUGUGAACAGCAACAGCCCCACUGGAGACGCCAGUGCUGCCAGCGGGGGACUGGUGCACACCCAGCACCACGUGCACAGACAAGGAGUCCAACACAGCCAAGGGCACAGAGGAGCUCAGAGAGACUCAAAUAGGUUGUUUAGUAAACGUGAAUCUCUGCUUCAAACCUUUCAGUUCCAGCACAGACCAUCAAAACCUGAUCUGAUUCUCUCCGCAUUUAGAGGGACAGAGUUUCGCCCAGUUUCCCAUCCAUUACCUGGCAAAUCUGGAUUCCAGCUUUUCCUAAAGACUUUACAAUAAUUUAAUUGAUAUAUAGCAUCCUAAUUUGUCCUCUGUAACCUGAGGCAGCUCCACCCAGCUGAGGAUGCAACCCAAGAUAUGCCAACGUCCUUUGGAGAGCCUCCUAAACACAGAGGGGGCAGGGGGAGGCUUCAGAGGGAUUUCAUCCUGGAAUGGAUGACAUGGAUAUUGCCUCAACCAUCCUUUAGAGAAGCCCAUGCUCCUCCACCAACUAUACAAACCAUGAAAAGUCUAAACCAGAAAAAAUCUGAGACAUUUUAGGUAGAAAGUGGCAGGUUUUGGAAAUAAGUUAAUAAAGGGGAGCACAAGGAUGAGGCAGAACUGAACUUACCACACGUAGCACUUCAGGAUGGAGUAAGCAAGCCCCAGAUCCCUCCUGGGACUGCCCUUUCUUUCCCCUCAUCACUUGCAGAAUGUAAAACACAUUGUGCCAAGCUGAGGGGAGGGCUCUGUGCUCAACCCUCAGCUCAUUCCUCCAUCCCUGCCGACAGGGAAGGGCUGCUGGGAUCCAGCAGAGCCUGUGUGACACAGCACACCCGUGAGGGUUGUGGGAAUAAACCCCCCCACGCUGCCAGUGCCAGGCUCAGCUCAAAGAAUACAACAUCUUUGCUUAGUUUUUAGGAAAAACACAGAGUACUCAACCUCUUUCCUGUGUGUUUAUGGCUUUCCUUCAAGGAUCACUGCUGGGCAAGGUGGGUUUUGUACGAGUACAGUUCAACUCCAGUACCUACCCCAGGUAACCCAUGGCUGCUCAGGUGAGACCCACGGAUUAAACACGGCUUCAACUCCCAAACCACCUUUGUAUCCAACGUGGCCAAAGGAAAUGUAACUCAGCACCCAAAACAUCUGCUGGAACAUCAGCUGGGCGUUCUCUAAACCCACCAUCCUGUUUUCUGCUUCUGAGUCAACAAAGGAGUUGCCACAGAUUUCAAUCUGCAGCUCUUGGUCAAUCGCUUUUAAAAAACGCUUUCACCACCUUCAUAGUGUUUCCUGUGUCGGUGAAAGACAGCCUCUGGAACUACUAGGAUAUCUGGGAGUGUCCUGCCAUGCAAAUGGCUUGGCUGGAGAACACCUGGGGCACCAGCUCAGCUCUGCAGUUUCUCUCCCCACCUCCAUUGCUACAUCCCAGUUAUUAGAUCUCCCACCCAUUUUCAGGAAUACCUGCAUUUCUGAGUAGGGUGACCCAUCCAGAAAGUGCCUUUUCCAAAGCCUAGGCCUGGGGAAGGUGUUCCCAUGGAGGUAAAUUCAAGUGUCAGUCAAUGAGUUCUAAAUUUGCCAAAUCUGCCCUUCAAGCUUUGCAGCCUUGUCCUGGUGCUCGGCCAUCCAAAAAGCAAACGGAGCUGGGUCACUUUGAAAAGUGACAAAUGAGCAGCAAACCCAGGGCCUGUGUUCUGGGGGGGCUGGAAUAGCAUCCUGAAUGCUGGGAGGGCUUUACAGGACAACUCCUGUGUGCCCGUGCACCGAUCCAUGGCGUCACCUGCACCCAGCAGCUAGCACGCCAGUCCUUUUUCUGAGGAACACCCCACUGUCAGCAGGCCACUAGUAAACACUCAGAGAGAAAAUGUUGACCCUGGAAUUGCUGAUGUACUUCACUAGUUAUCAACAGGCUUCCAAAGAAACUACAAAAAAAAAAAAAAAUUCCUUCCCCAGUCACAGAGCAUUUAAAGGACAAUAUUUAGUAUCACCGUGUUCUAGAGGCUAUCUGUGGGUUGACCUUCACCAGAAGAAUGUGAAAAUACAGGGCAACUGUCUACAGUGGUAUUUACCUUUUUCCAGAGUGGAAAAAAACAAAAAGUCUAUUUUAGUAUUUUUCAAGUGCUCACACAGUGCAGAGUUCCAGUAAAAACCCGGUACCCUUGGAAAGGAGUUUCCCGUGUUCUGUUCUCUACUCUGACCCAGCUUAGGAGAAGCAGAGCCUUGGGAACCUGCUAUGUGGGUGGGAAGGGCUGGAAGCAGAGCCACCCCUCGGGUCUGUCAGACAGUUGGCUCCCCUUUGGAUGAAGGCACUGCUGUCUGUGCAGAGAGAGCUUCACGUCUCGGCCUCAGCCACAACCCAACCUUGGCAGGCAGUGCCAGACACCCCGAGUGUCCUCGGUGACAUCACUGUUUAUUUGGACAGUGCUCCAGCAAACUGGCAGUGCCAGGUGGGACCUGGCUGAGGGGCAUCACGGAGACAACACCAGCCCACGGGCCCUGACAUCAGCAACCCACAACACAACGUUCCUCAGGGAAAAGGUACCACCCGGGAGUCACCUGGUCGUUCAGCAAAUGCUGCGAUUGCCUCUGUGUGACCACACGAGCUACUGAUAUGGGGUUGUAUCUGUUUUGUUCAUUCAAGUGAAGAGAGACACAGCCAAGUUUCUGGGCAGGGAGAGGCACCAGAGGGCUGUGCCACGGGGCUGCUUCAACCACAAAGCCAGAACUGGAGGGUUCUGCCCCACUUCUCGGGCCUACGCAGAAACGACCCCAAGUUACAUGUACAACGAGAGCACCCCCAGCCCUGCCCUUGCUAUGUGCGAGCACAAGGGCUGCCUGCAGGCACUGCCACGCUUCCCUCAGGAGCACAUUCCCGUCUCCCGAGGAGAUGCGAUCGCUCUGACCUCCUUACCGGGAGGAGGCUGCCAAGCACGCAGGCUGAGCGCUCAGCCAGCUGCCGUCCCCGCUGCCCUUCCAUUCCCCCUCUCCCCUUCCACACCCCACCCUUCCUCAAGGUCCCGGCUCAACCAACAGCCGUCCAACCUGUGGCUGAGUGGGAGUGAGCGGGAGCUCUGCCCAGGCUCCCGUUCCCUUCCCGGCGGGAGGGGCUGCCGCCCACCCGCUCCUGCCGCAGUGCCGAGCUCAGGCACCGCCGGAACGAGAGGCGGCCGUGGGAGGCUCAGCACACUCCCAGUCCUGGCGUGUCCCUGAAGGAGAGGGCACAAAACCAGGGAGGAAUGUCAAGCUACGCUGAUUUACACCUCGACAAACCUCCUCCGCGCCGGAGGUUUUUAUGUAAGGGCAGGGAAAGGCUCCAUCGCUCAGCCAAGGAGGAGAAAUUCGGGACAGGCUGCGUAGAGGAGCCUCCUCCCUCUCGGAGCUGCUGCUCGGGGGAGGCUGCCUGAUCGAUGACAACUUCCAGGGAGGAAGAAUGAGACUGAGCUGUUCUGGCUCUGCCCCCAAACUGCAGAGCAGCGGUGGGAAACCGCACCCAGGGAGACGCCCAGGGAGAAAAGGAUGUUUUGUUGCGGGGGCUUUUGUUCUGGACUCUGUUUAUUAGCGGUAUUUCACAGCCAGGCAGGCAUGGAAGCAAUUUAAAGGGCCAGGCUGGAUGAAAUAACCUGCUCCGCAGUCGGCAGGUUUUGAAUUAGCAAACAAACAAGCAACAAACCCCAGAUGCCGGGGGCGGGAGCGGGGAAGGGUUUGCUGACACGCUCCAAAAGGGAACAGCAGGCACAGAGCUGGAGCAACAGCUGGUUGCUGCAGCACACGGAGCUCCAGCACCAACGCUGAAGGAGCAGCCCCAAGUCCAACAGCCCGGGACUGUCACUAAUGAGACACGGGACAGUCACUCCCCGGCAGUGCCCAGAUACCCACCUGCUCUCACACAGGUUCUGCUCCAGGAACCAGAGAUUCCCAGACCUCCCCCCUGAGCGAGCUCUGCUUUAGCCAGAGAGGCUUCGUCGGCCCCGGAGGUCUGGACAAAGAACUGGCCUAGCAGAGAACCCUGAUUUGGACAGUGUGGUGGUCCCAGAGGAGACCACUCCAGAAUAUGCACUUCCCUGGGAUAUUGGAACCCAAAUCACAGCCAGGAUCACACAAAGCUUUGCCUCUCCACGGGCAAACUUAGCACAGCACUGGAGCGUGUCAAAGGUACCAUAUGGAUUUUAACUGCUCUCUCUUUAAUGAAAAUAAACCCAGAAUAACUUACAACAGGACAACUUUUUGGCGAGAUGAUGUGAAGACAGUGCUUAACUGUUGGUCAGGGAAUACUGGAAUUCCUCUGGAUUAAGAACUGGUUGGAAAGCAAACUGAGAAACAGAGCAGUUUGAUACUAAAUACCCACUUGAAACCAGGGGUGUUAAAAACGGUUCUGCCAAUUCGCACAAACUGCAGCAGCACUGCACAUGCACAUCCCUGACUGUGCUAAACCAAAACCAUGGCCAAAGCUGCUUGGAGAAGAAUCCUUCCCCGGGAAAGGAGGGAAAUGUCAGCAGUCACACAAGUCAAUCACCAAGUCAGACAGUGCAGGGCACGAUUCUACAGGGCCAACAAGAUUUCUGGUUGGAAUAACCAAGCACAGCUUGAGCCGCUGGCUCCCAAAGAGGAGGAAACGUGUCUCAUCCUCCCCAGGGGAAACAAAACACAUCAUCCACUCAUUAGUUUCUUGGCAGAGGAACCCAGAGCACCACAUCCAAACCGGCCUCCUCAUUCUGAACUAAGCCUCUGGUGGGUUAGUGGGCACCGACCAGGGGAAGACAACAGGUAAAACCGAGCAGAUCCCCUGCAUUUGCCCACAUGGAAGUUUUAAAUGGACACCAGCUGUUAAUUCCUUUCUACAUUCUUCACAUUUUUUUUUGGCCAACUCCCCACAAGACUAACAGAAAUCUUUCCCCUUCAACUUUCAUCUGAUGCAUAGAUAAAAUAGUCAGGCAAGGAAGAGAAAUAUAUAUCAUAACUGCCUUCAUUGAAACGCACGCCCGCAGCCCUCAGUGCAUCCCUGCCCUGGAGAUGGGUUAAAGAGCCUUAAUGCCACCUAAAUUAAGUCAAUUUGUUAGUCAGGACAUUGGUGACCAAACAGUUUGAGAUGCAUCCUGGGAGGAAAAAGCACACAGGCCAGAAUUUAAAACCCUGGGAAAUAGGAUGAGAAGAAGGGAAGCAAAAGCCCAGAAAAGCUACGUCUUAAAUAACUCAGGGUUUUUUUGUCUGGGAAAUGGAUCCUGAGCUGGCACAGGCCCAACCCAACAGCUGCAUUGCUUUUCUACUUCCACAAACACUGGAAAAGUCAGCCAAAGCCCUGUUUGUGCUGGCAGACACCCAAGAUUUUAUUAUUAUGUACUAUUAGUUCAUAGUGAGAAAUGUGCACUACGGGGGAAAAAAAAAAACUGGAGAAGCUCAAUAAUUGGGUACAGAUGUUGAAGAUUUAUGGAGCUCUCCCCAGUGGACAGGAUCUUACAGAUUGUUUCUAUCACCUGUUUGCUUUUGGAGUUUUUAAUAAGAUAACUAUGUGUGCUAUCCUGGAAGAACAUUCUAGAAUUCCUCCUUCAGAAAGCAAUAACUUCUGAUCUCCGCUUGUCUCCUCUCAGUAACGAUCUCCCUUCAGAGUUCCAUAAAUGCCACUCGAUAUUCAUUUCAUAUUUAAAUAAGAUCUUGGCAGUUGCUUUCAUUAUCUGGCAACUUUCGAAUGCAAUCAGACUAUUUCUUUCUUACUUCGUGGCCCAAAAACUAAACCUGACACAUCAUGCCAAAUCCCCAGCAGUUAGAAUUCAUGAUUAAACCUCUCAGUAUUCCAAAUACCUAAUGACUUCUGCCUUUUUUUUUUUUUUCUUAUUAUCUGGCAAGUGACAUCUGCUCGACAUUUUUGGGGACUGCUGCUUCUGGUACACAGAGCCCCAACCUCACUGAGGCCCAAGGCUCAGGUUAAGCUGCCUGCAAAAGUAACCCAGUCCCAGCCAGUUUGGUUCAUUAAAUCGAUUCUACAAAAUAUUUGGAAGGUGCAAAGUUCUGGGGCCGACAGCAACCACUAGGAAAGAACAAACACUGGGAAGUCACCGGCAUUUUUCAUAACUGACCUGUGAUGGUUUUGCCAUUUCCAAUCACGUCACGUCACGAGUGAUUUCUUUCCACCAGCACAAAACGGCGAAAGGAGGCACAUUCCACUUGGUUGUUUUUCCAAGCACUUAUAGAAGAGGAUAAACCACCAAAAAAAGGUGGUAUUUCUGCAAACCAACACAGUGAUGCUCCUGCUGUGGCACCCAGGCUCCCUCCCCUCCGUGCCCACGCACACCUCGACUUGGCCAGGAAACCUGGCAGUUCCCUCCACCUUUCCCACAGCUGCUGGUCAGUCCUUCCUGAACAAUGACUUCAUCCUUCCCAGCCCGUGGCUGACACAGCACAGGUCACCUGAAGGUCGGGACCUCGUCACAGAUUCUGACACCCAGUUCCCAGCCGAAAAAGAGUCGAUCUGCUAAAUUUGGUUGGAAUAAGUCUACGGAGACUAAGUUUUUCCUACAGCUCUGAAAUGCACUUUGUCAGUCACAAUUGUGCUUUUAGGGAAGAAACACUUGCACUGCACACUGACUCCAUCCCCGGAGCAGUUACUGAGCUGUUCCCUGCUGUUCCCAAUGGAUGGAGUGAUGGCCUGAAACCCUUUUGGGUGUGGUUCUUCCAGGUGUAUAAAAAGUGGCUCAGAAAGGGUUCUGUAUCUCUCUCGGAAUUGGCACAGGCCACCCAAAACUGCUCUAAAUUCCACCCUGAGGCAGGAAAGCAGAAUCCAACUCAAUUCAUGGGGUUGGGGUUUGCUUUGCUUUUAUCAUCAGGUUUGAAUCUGACCAAGUGCCUCCAAGGACAGCAAAGCUGCAGCACAGCCUCUGUAGCCCAUUGUAUCCAGCUCCACUGUAGUUUCUGGAGUCACAUCCCUGCAUUCAGGGCUCCCUAUGGAAAACCUCCACCUUGUCUCUGAAUUUCAGAAGACUAAGGUCUGGAAUUGUCUUGGGUUAUGGAAAUAGAUGAAGCAAUUCCUACGCAGGGAGGAAGAGACAUCCUUCACCUGCCAUCAUUGCUGGGACCCUGAACACAUCGGUCAAUAUUAUCUCAGUAUUAUCUUAUUUCAUGUACCUGCAAUGAUUCUUCAAUCUAAUAAGAAUUAAAAAGCUAUAAAGGAAGAAUAAGUACAACAGGGUGAUACAGCCAUGAGGGAACGCUUGCAGACAAAUGGCAGAACCUUAUUUAGCUUUUGCUUUUGAAAAGCUCAGAUUCUCACAAAUUUCACAUUUACACCUGCAGGUUUACACUAACAAAAAAACAUCAACAACUCCCCCCCCAAAAAAAAACAUCACAGCCCUGGGGCCAUUUAGAAAGUGCUAAUCCUGAUCAUUUUCCACCUAAUGACUGUUUACUACUCAGCCCUUUUCAAAUGCCUGGCAGCUCUCCAGGUCCUCCUGCUUUUCCCUUCUCCCACACAUCCCUCCACAGCCAUCUUGGAGGAGGACAAACCUCCAGAGGGGAGAGCUCUUCGCUGGCUUUGCAGGCUCUAAAAGCCUCGUUUCCUGGGGGAAAUCCUGAGCGUUGUUUUCACUUUCAAGGCAAAACCAAAACCUUAAGGCUUUCAAAGCGCUGCCAAAUGAGAGCACAGAGAAAAAACAAAGAAACGCUCAACCAGGGAAGUCCUUUCUUUUGAAGGAUUUCAGACCCAACGCUGGUUGGACAGUUUAAAUGCAGUGGGACCAGUUCUCUAAGCCCGACCAGGAACAGAUUUGAGCAGCCCCACCCCAGCACUUGUUUCAAAUGCCAUUCACUGUCACUCGGCGUUUCAGGCUGGAACAAUUAUUUGUGGUCGGAUGCUCUCCCCGCUCCCCGACCAGCUGUGCUUUGAUCUCACCCCCGGAGCUCCCGUGGAUCUGGAGAAAGCCCAGCUCCCCCCAUCACCAGAAGUGCAGUGGAACAGCUCCUCAGGGAAAGUGCAGCUCCCCCAGACCUCACAAGUGGUGCUGGCACUGCAGCCUGGGGUGGACCAGAUGUGUCCUGGAGCCCUGACCACCAUCCUCUCCGUGGCUUCCACCCACACGUCGGAGCUGGCUACCACCAAAAAAGGGAGGAAUGACACGGAAAAGCACAAGGAGAGCUUUAACUGGCAAGGUCAGGCCAGCACUGCGUCCCUUUGUGAUGGGAACAGGGAUGAGGCUGGAUCCCAACACACAGAUCUAAGGGAGGAUGGUGGCUGUUCCAGGAAUAAAGCAAAAGCAUAACCAAUCCAAUGCAAUCAAUAUUUUAAAUGAAAUCAGCCCAGCCCCUAUUCAAAUCAGGUCAGCAGUAAUUAAGGCACCCUUAUUUGGAAUGGUAAAGCCAGGAAGCGCCUGGAUCAGUGUGUUUCUCCAAGAGAAUACAUUAAUGGGAGCGUUUGGAAAUGCGUGAUGCACCCGUAAGAGGCUUUGAUAUAAACCUCGGGAUUACACCAUGCCAGCUUUUCAAUUAUUAUACUCCACAAAAAGCCACGUGCUGGGGACAGCAAGAGGUUAAAGCUGAGCUGGGAGCAGGGCUUUGUCCUUUCUCUUCCUGUUGGUUUCUACUCGGGCACCACUUGGGAUUUACUGUGGCCGGAGAGAAGCACCGCAGGUGGAAUUCUACAUAAAACACCUCUCUUAGUGAUGGCAUCAGGGUCAACAACACACAGGAAGGAGCCUCAUCACUUCAGCAGGGACAGCAAAAGCAACCCCUCUUGUUUCUAGAAGGAUCUGCUUGGUUGGCUCCAUCUUAACACUGUCUCACCACACGGCGACUCAGCCAUUUUAAUUCCUGAAUGCUGGAGUUGGCUCUCCCUGCUCUCCAGGCUGUCUGGAGACCAGGAGUCUCUGUAUAAACCACAUGCAAGUGAAGGCUGGAGACAAAAAACAACUGAGUGAGGCAGAGGGAAGGUGCUGGAUGAGCAGCAGAGCGUGGUAAUGCCACUGAAUAAGUAAAAGCACACCAUUUUCAGAUUGGAUGUGGCUCCUUUUUGCAAAGAAAAGCUCUGCAGUGUGGUUCUCCUGGGAGGGCGAUGAGCAGUGCAGGCUGUGUGUGUGCUGCUCCAGCAACAGCCCCAGAGAGCAAACUCCUGCUCCUUCCCAAGCCGUGGGAGAGGGCAAUGGAUGGAUCUCCAGCAUCCAUUUUGGUGUUUGUCACCCUGCAAGUGCCUGAAGGACAAGCCCUUCUCCAGCUAUUCCACGGGAAUGCUGUGCCCAGGAACUGCUAGGAAGGGGCUGGAGCUGUAAAAACCCCGGGCCAACCAUGACAAAAAUAUAUUCAUGCUGGCCACCACGUUCUUGUUUACCCAAUACAUUAUAAAAACUAGCAGCAAACCCAGGCUGGUUACCUGAGCUACAAACAUCCAGAAAAAAAACUAUUUUGGUGAGCAGAAAUUUUAAUUUACAUCUGCCCAGCACAGGCUGCAGAAGGGCAGACCCAAACAAGCCAUAUUUGACACAGAUAGAUUAGACAGAUGGUACAGCAUAAAGGGGAUUUGUGCUUGCUUGACUUUGGCAUGGCUGAAUUACUUAUUAAUUGCAGAUACACAGCAGUUAUGCUGGAUAUUUGGCAAAGAUUUAAUGCCUAUUAGAACUUCAUACCACUCAAAAUUACCACAGGUCCUGUACACCAGCACGGGGGCUGUUCUGCAGCUCAGUUCUGCUGCACACUUUUCAGAGCCUGUUGUGAUGUAUUUUGAUGUAAAAUGGAUAUAAGCAGCACAAAUACAAGUGCUACCCUGUUCCAGAAGCUUUGGGCAACCUGUGAAUGUUGGGAAAUUAACUGAGAGACCAAUAGAAAUCCUGAUCUAAAAUAAAACCUCUGAAUUGCUGGAGGCUGCUGAAAGCCUCCAGCUUCCCAAGGCAGGCGCCCAGCCCUCUGUGUUCCUCUGCUCCCUUCACCAGUGGCUGCUCUCAGAUUCCCCCUGGUGAAGCACAACAUUAAGAGAUGUUAUUGCAGGGAACACAGAGGGGGUGAAACUCAAAACUGGGGACUGUCCAAGCCUGAGUUCACACCAGAAGCCCACACACAGGGCAGGAACAGCGACACUGAACACUGAUUUAAAACAGGCCAUUCUCCCUGAGGCUGCUUGUACCUCAGGAUCAGCAGUUCUGGCACCACUGUGACCAUCAGAGCCCCAUCCAGCAUCAUAAUUCCAAGGCCUUUGGGCACGGUGACACCUGGGUGGAUUUGUUGCCUUGAGAGCUGCAGCACAGCAAGGCACCUCUCCAGGCUGGCCAAAUCCAGGACAAAGCAGUGCUGGGUGUGGGUUACAGGCAGGAGGGGAAUCUGGAGAGCAGGAAAUCAUGGAGAGCCUCAGACAUUCCAAACAACCCCAGGGCUGCCAGGGCCUGCCUUCCCUCUGAGGGACACCAGGGCUGGCAUUUAGGGAUGGAAACGAUUCCUGACUCUCAGCUCCUCCCAGGCCAAGCAGGGAUCCAGGAGCUCCUCUCCCAGCCAGCCAGCACAAGGGGAGGGGCUGGGCUCCCCUAUCCAGGUGUCAGGCAGGAGCAACCCAACCACACACAGGUUAUCAGACAAAAUAGAACAGGCACCACCAACCGUGCAAGGGGAGAGCUGGGUAAAUAAACCAGCAAGGGGACAGACUGUGGCUCUGGAGAAAUGGAUACUCACAGUUCCAGUUUACAUCUCUAGUGUUAAACCUUCCUCUGCUGAUUUUGGACACUGAGUGCUAGGAGAGCUCCAUGCCCCAUUUGUUCCUGGUGACAGGGGGCAGGAUUGCUGGGCACUGAGUGUCCCUCACAGGCUCUGAACUGGGAGGGGUGCAGAGCACAGGGUCUGUGCAGGACAGGCUGACUGCACAGCUCCUGCAUGUUAAUUAACCACUAAUCAUGUCUACUGGUGGGUUCACAUUCAGCCUCAUCACCAUUCCCUUUAGCAACAGAACUGGCAGAAAACACCAAAACUAAUGUUUUACCCCCAAAGUAACAAUCUCUGCACACCUCAUUUGAGACAACAUAGCACUGAGAGUCCAAUCCAGAGUGUCUUCCUUACCUGCACGAUGCUGGAAGCUUCAUUUUAUCAGCUGUUGGACACCAACAAUCUCCCAUCCAAAUGAACUGGGUCUCCAAUGCUCCAAGCCCGAGGCAAAACUGUCACCUCCCUCCUUCCCUUACUCCAAACAGUCACCUUACAGCAGCUCUGUCUCUAGCACAGGGAUUUUGGGACCCUGCACCCUGCCCAGGCUUUAGGAAGGCUCACAGGACCAGAGGAGGGUUGUCACCCUCUCUGCAAGUCCAGGGAACACCCACAAAGAUUUCAACCAGAAAAAAAUCACACCCAUCAGACCAUUUAAUUCACUGCAAGUUAAACAGGAAAGUGGACACAGCACAAAACAUCCUGGGAGGAGCCCUGAGAGCAGCAGGUGGCCACAGGGCUGUGCAGGAAUUCUCUAGCCCUGGGAAUGCUGCUAGGGCUUUUUUUUGGUCUUUUUUUCCCCCUGUUUAGGGUUUUUCCCCCAGACCACCUGAGCACACGUGAGCCCUGUCUGCUGUGGCAGAUCCCUGCUCACUGCCCCGGGCCACCCUGAUUCCCAGCACAGACAGAAGGCUCUCCCAGCUGUGUCCUGGGAACUCCAGUUCCUACCUCAGCCCUCGCUGCUUCACUCUGAUUGACAAAGGAAGACAGGGACAAAUUUGCCUUCAGUACCCAUGCAAAGGUUGGGAGGAAGGAGGUCCUGAAGCAGCACCACCAGGGGCACGUUGGAAGCUCUGCAGGAGCUGCAGUUGGGCUCGUCUGCUCCUCGGGCAGAUCCUCUUUCAUCCAGACCAGCGCAACUCCCUCUCCUUCCUCCCACUUGAACCUGCCACUGAAUUAAUUGAGGAUGGUUUAUGAGCAUGUUGAGGAUGAGGGAUCAGCAAUCUACCCCUCCUGAGAACAGCCAGCCAUAAGUCUGGACAACUUCUCUUUCCCUUCCAGCCGAAGUCUCGGCAUUCCUCCUCACAUAACUUUGGGUUUUGCUCACCUUUACAAAGCUGGCCUGGCUUCUGUCAGUGAAAAGUGAGCACUGGAGCCAAGGCCCCUUAAGCUAUUUCAGAUACUUUUACUCUCAUAUCCUCCAACAGAAACCCCAAGCCAUGGCUGCAGCCACUUGGGCACAGGUUGGCAGGGUCAGGAGAUGUACUGGCUUGUAGGGACCAUGUGGCCCCACACAGCCCUUCAAACAACAUUUCAGAAUGAAAGUAGCUGAAGAAAACUGAAUGAGACAAAGGAUGUGGGGAUGCCACACAGACAGGGGAAGGUGGUACAGCUGGCAGGAGACACCGGGAUCACUGACACCACCGGGAAGUGCCACCACACUGUCAGGGAAGCGCAUGACCUACACACCUGGACUGUCCAGAGCUGGCACUGCUCACCCAUCUUCUUUAUCCACAAUUUUCCCAAUGCCACGGAGAGGAGGAUAAGAAGGAACAGAGGCAGGCCCUGUGCUCACAGCCUGCGAGCGUGCUCUGCCCAGGAAACAAUGCCAGUGUCCAGAAUUUAAUCCCUCCAGGAUGUCACUGAAUUAAAAUAAUGCACUUAAGUGCUCACCAAGCACUAACGAGGUGCUGCAGCUGCGUCAGACCCUUUAUGCAAAGUGGUUAAUUGGGCUCAGGUAAAGGCAGCAGGGGGGCACUGAGGGCCUGCCCAGCACACCCAGGGGCACAUCUCACCACAUCACUGUCACCUUCCAGACACCAGCCAUUCAAUCCUGCCCUGAUUACUGAGGGGAGGGUAAGGAAUGAAUGAAUCCGUGUCUGCACAGACCUGAGCUGAGGCAGCCACCUUUAGCAGGAAAGCAGGUACAAACCUCACCUGAGGGACCUAAUCCGAGGCGAACAGAUGUGCUCAGUAAUCCUGGCUCUUUACAUCAGCAGCUGAUCCGGGCAGAGAAACACCACUGGCUGAUGGAACAGCACCCAGAGGCCACUGCAGAGCAGGACUGAACCCUGGGGUGGUGUGUGAGCAGCCAUCCCCUCCCCUCUCCAUAGCAGGGCUUCUCCUGCUGCUCCACCCGUGGUUGGAGUCCAUGGCCCUUUGGGUUUAUGUGGUUCAGGGCCAGUCGAGUGCAGAGCUGUGAGCAGAGCAGGACGGUGCCAGGAGAGGUGGGAGAACACAGAUGGGCCCUCUGUUCCUUGGAGCACCUCCUGAAGGUGGGCAGAGCUCCAGAGCCAGUGCUGGGGCACAGAGGGGGAGCUGGAGGGCCGGAGGGCCGCGAUCCCGCCGCGAUCCCAGACAGACGGACGACAGGGAGAUUUACAGUGCCCUUCCCUCCCCACCUCAGCCUGGCAGCACAGCACCCCAGCCACAACAGCAUUCCUCCUGGGAUAAAUCCAGGACAAGCCCCUUAGGCCACAUAUCACAGUGUCAGCACCCAAACUCAUUCUGGUUGUGCCUUGUGGGAUGUGCCCUGCACAGGGAUAUAUCCUGCCCCAGGGUUCUCUCCCAGGAGGACUCUGACCAGGUUUCCAGCUGGAAAGAACUGGCUGAACCCAAGUUAAACUGAUAAAUGUUAGUGCUGGUCUCCUUCCUCCAGAACGGAAAAAAGGAUCUCUUUUCACUUGGAACUUCAAAGGCAGCGAGAACAGUCCUCCCAUGGCUCACCUGGACCAACAGGAUUAUAUGGUCAAAUUAGAUUUUCCUUUGCCCUUAAUUUUGGCUAAACAGUGUUUGCUGAAAGCCUUUCUGGCCUUCAUUUCCAUGAUAAAAGGUGGGCAUUGUUUGGCUCCUUCCUUGCCUCAUAAUAUCAUUAAGAUGACAUUCAGGCCACAUGACAAGUCCAUUUUUUCCCCCAUUAAAUCUACAAUGGUCAUUCCUGUUUGCUUGUCCUCUACUUCACCCCGGAGGAAAUUCUGUUUUCCAAUAACUCUUUUGUUGAUGGCAAACUGAAGGAAGUUAUUUUGCUGAAAUGGUAUUUUAUUAUUAAAUUUUACUUCAGUUAAUGCACAAGAACAUGGGGGGGG